RNAcentral lists this ribosomal RNA (1610 nucleotides) under Mesitornis unicolor (brown roatelo). RNAcentral's name for it is "16S ribosomal RNA". It matches the Rfam family "Bacterial large subunit ribosomal RNA". The record is from RNAcentral. Lineage: Eukaryota; Metazoa; Chordata; Aves; Mesitornithiformes; Mesitornithidae.
AACCAACCUCUAGCCCAACCACACCCUUAUAAUAAAACAAACUAAAAACCCAUUACCCAAUUAUAAUUAAAACAUUCUCCUGACUUAGUAUAGGCGAUAGAAAAGUCUAACGGCGCAAUAGAGACCUGUACCGCAAGGGAAAGAUGAAAUAAAAAUGAAAAACAAAGUACCAAACAGCAAAGAUCAACCCUUGUACCUCUUGCAUCAUGAUUUAGCAAGAACAACCAAGCACAAAGAAUUUUUAGCUUGCCACCCCGAAACCCAAGCGAGCUACUCUCAAGCAGCUAUCCAUGAGCAAACCCGUCUCUGUCGCAAAAGAGUGGGAUGACUUGUUAGUAGAGGUGAAAAGCCUACCGAGCUGGGUGAUAGCUGGUUACCUACAAAAUGAAUUUAAGUUCUUCCUUAAUCCUCCCCCAAUGACCCCCUCUACAACCCAUAAUGAAGUAGAUUAAGAGUAAUUUAAAGGAGGUACAGCUCCUUUAAAAAAGAGCACACUCUCUGCCAGCGGAUAACCCCCCAUGCUCCUUAAACUUGUAGGCCCUAAAGCAGCCACCAAUAAAGAAUGCGUCAAAGCUCUACCCUUAAAAAUAUACAAACAACGAGACUCCCUCCCCACUAGUAGGUUAACCUAUUAACAAUAGAAGAAUUUAUGCUAAAAUGAGUAACUAGGGACCACUCCCUCCACCAGCGCAAACUUACAUUCCCCCAAAUUAUUAACAGAAUGCUCGUCAAUUAAUAUACACACUCCAACAAGACCUAAUAUUAUCCUUUCUGUUACUCCAACUCAGGAGCGCCCAUAUAAAGAUUUAAAUUUGUAAAAGGAACUCGGCAAACACAAGACCCGACUGUUUACCAAAAACAUAGCCUUCAGCAAACCAAGUAUUGAAGGUGAUGCCUGCCCAGUGACAGUACGUUUAACGGCCGCGGUAUCCUAACCGUGCAAAGGUAGCGCAAUCAAUUGUCCCAUAAAUUGAGACCUGUAUGAAUGGCUAAACGAGGUCUUAACUGUCUCUUACAAAUAAUCAGUGAAACUGAUCUUCCUGUGCAAAAGCAGGAAUAAACACAUAAGACGAGAAGACCCUGUGGAACUUUAAAAUCAGCAGCCACCAUAAAAAAACUCCAACCUACUAGGCCCUACUACACUCUUUUUCAUAACACUGGCCUGCAUUUUUUGGUUGGGGCGACCUUGGAGAAAAACAAACCCUCCAAAAACAGGGCAAUAUCCCUUAACUAAGAGCAACCCCUCAAUGUGCUAACAGCAACCAGACCCAAUUUAAUUGAUCAAUGAACCAAGCUACCCCAGGGAUAACAGCGCAAUCUCCUUUAAGAGCCCCUAUCGACAAGGAGGUUUACGACCUCGAUGUUGGAUCAGGACACCCUAAUGGUGCAGCCGCUAUUAAGGGUUCGUUUGUUCAACGAUUGACAGUCCUACGUGAUCUGAGUUCAGACCGGAGCAAUCCAGGUCGGUUUCUAUCUAUGACCAACUUUCCCUAGUACGAAAGGACCGGGGAAGUGAGGCCUAUACUCCAAGCACGCCUCCCCUUUAAGUAAUGACUCCAACUAAAUUACCAAAAGGGCCACCCAACACAACCACAUCCUAGAAAAGGAAC